UUAAGUGACUAAGCGUACACGGUGGAUGCCUUGGCAGUCAGAGGCGAUGAAAGACGUAGUAACUUGCGAUAAGCCCAGAUUAGGUAGUAACAACCAUUUGAGUCUGGGAUUUCUGAAUGGGGAAACCCACUUACAUAAGUAAGUAUCAUUAACUGAAUACAUAGGUUAAUGAGGCGAACCGGGGGAACUGAAACAUCUAAGUACCCCGAGGAAAAGAAAUCAACCGAGAUUCCGAAAGUAGCGGCGAGCGAAAUUGGACUAGCCCUUAAGCUUUACACGCGUUAGACGAACGGUCUGGAAAGUCCGACGAUACAGGGUGAUAGUCCCGUAGUUGACGACGUGUGUUCAGUGAAAUCGAGUAGGGCGGGACACGUGAUAUCCUGUCUGAAUAUGGGGGGACCAUCCUCCAAGGCUAAAUACUACUGACUGACCGAUAGUGAACCAGUACCGUGAGGGAAAGGCGAAAAGAACCCCUGUGAGGGGAGUGAAAUAGAACCUGAAACCGUGUACGUACAAGCAGUAGGAGCAGGCUUGUCCUGUGACUGCGUACCUUUUGUAUAAUGGGUCAGCGACUUAUAUUCAGUGGCAAGGUUAACCAUCUAGGGGAGCCGUAGGGAAACCGAGUCUUAACUGGGCGUUCAGUCUCUGGAUAUAGACCCGAAACCAGGUGAUCUAGCCAUGGGCAGGUUGAAGGUUGAGUAACAUCAACUGGAGGACCGAACCGACUAAUGUUGAAAAAUUAGCGGAUGACUUGUGGCUAGGGGUGAAAGGCCAAUCAAACCUGGAGAUAGCUGGUUCUCCCCGAAAGCUAUUUAGGUAGCGCCUCGGACGAAUACUACUGGGGGUAGAGCACUGUUAAGGCUAGGGGGUCAUCUCGACUUACCAACCCUUUGCAAACUCCGAAUACCAGUAAGUACUAUCCGGGAGACACACGGCGGGUGCUAACGUCCGUCGUGGAGAGGGAAACAACCCAGACCGCCAGCUAAGGUCCCAAAUUACUACUAAGUGGGAAACGAUGUGGGAAGGCUCAGACAGCCAGGAUGUUGGCUUAGAAGCAGCCAUCAUUUAAAGAAAGCGUAAUAGCUCACUGGUCGAGUCGGCCUGCGCGGAAGAUGUAACGGGGCUAAGUAGUAAACCGAAGCUGCGGCAAUGUGCUUUUGCACAUUGGGUAGGGGAGCGUUCUGUAAGCGGUUGAAGGUGUGUGGUAACGCAUGCUGGACGUAUCAGAAGUGCGAAUGCUGACAUGAGUAACGAUAAAGGGGGUGAAAAACCUCCUCGCCGGAAGACCAAGGGUUCCUGUCCAACGUUAAUCGGGGCAGGGUAAGUCGACCCCUAAGGCGAGGCCGAAAGGCGUAGUCGAUGGGAAACGGGUUAAUAUUCCCGUACUUCUUACAAUUGCGAUGGGGGGACGGAGAAGGCUAGGUGGGCCUGGCGACGGUUGUCCAGGUUCAAGUGCGUAGGCUUAAGAGUUAGGUAAAUCCGGCUCUUUUUAAGGCUGAGACACGACGUCGAGCACCUACGGGUGUGAAGUCAUUGAUGCCAUGCUUCCAGGAAAAGCCUCUAAGCUUCAGAUUGUAAGGAAUCGUACCCCAAACCGACACAGGUGGUCGGGUAGAGAAUACCAAGGCGCUUGAGAGAACUCGGGUGAAGGAACUAGGCAAAAUGGUACCGUAACUUCGGGAGAAGGUACGCUCUUGAUGGUGAAGUCCCUCGCGGAUGGAGCUGACGAGAGUCGCAGAUACCAGGUGGCUGCAACUGUUUAUUAAAAACACAGCACUGUGCAAAAUCGUAAGAUGACGUAUACGGUGUGACGCCUGCCCGGUGCCGGAAGGUUAAUUGAUGGGGUUAGACUUCGGUCGAAGCUCUUGAUCGAAGCCCCGGUAAACGGCGGCCGUAACUAUAACGGUCCUAAGGUAGCGAAAUUCCUUGUCGGGUAAGUUCCGACCUGCACGAAUGGCGUAAUGAUGGCCACGCUGUCUCCACCCGAGACUCAGUGAAAUUGAAAUCGCUGUGAAGAUGCAGUGUACCCGCGGCUAGACGGAAAGACCCCGUGAACCUUUACUACAGCUUGGCACUGAACAUUGACCCUACAUGUGUAGGAUAGGUGGGAGGCUUUGAAGCAAGUACGCCAGUAUUUGUGGAGCCGUCCUUGAAAUACCACCCUUGUAGUGUUGAUGUUCUAACGUCGACCCCUAAUCGGGGUUGCGGACAGUGCCUGGUGGGUAGUUUGACUGGGGCGGUCUCCUCCCAAAGAGUAACGGAGGAGCACGAAGGUGGGCUAAUCACGGUUGGACAUCGUGAGGUUAGUGCAAUGGCAUAAGCCCGCUUGACUGCGAGAAUGACAAUUCGAGCAGGUGCGAAAGCAGGUCAUAGUGAUCCGGUGGUUCUGAAUGGAAGGGCCAUCGCUCAACGGAUAAAAGGUACUCCGGGGAUAACAGGCUGAUACCGCCCAAGAGUUCAUAUCGACGGCGGUGUUUGGCACCUCGAUGUCGGCUCAUCACAUCCUGGGGCUGAAGUCGGUCCCAAGGGUAUGGCUGUUCGCCAUUUAAAGUGGUACGCGAGCUGGGUUUAGAACGUCGUGAGACAGUUCGGUCCCUAUCUGCCGUGGGCGUUGGAAGAUUGAAGGGGGCUGCUCCUAGUACGAGAGGACCGGAGUGGACGAACCUCUGGUGUUCGGGUUGUGUCGCCAGACGCAUUGCCCGGUAGCUAAGUUCGGAAUCGAUAACCGCUGAAAGCAUCUAAGCGGGAAGCGAGCCCUGAGAUGAGUCUUCCCUGAUACUUUAAGUAUCCUAAAGGGUUGUCGGAGACUACGACGUUGAUAGGUCAGGUGUGUAAGUGCUGUGAGGCAUUGAGCUAACUGAUACUAAUUGCCCGUGAGGCUUAACCAU
This 2888-nucleotide ribosomal RNA is filed under the name Vibrio parahaemolyticus. RNAcentral describes it as "bacterial LSU rRNA". It matches the Rfam family "Bacterial large subunit ribosomal RNA". Lineage: Bacteria; Pseudomonadati; Pseudomonadota; Gammaproteobacteria; Vibrionales; Vibrionaceae. The record is from RNAcentral.